Molecule: microRNA precursor, 78 nt
Filed under: Schistosoma curassoni
Lineage: Eukaryota; Metazoa; Platyhelminthes; Trematoda; Strigeidida; Schistosomatidae
Description: mir-3492 microRNA precursor family
Rfam family: mir-3492 microRNA precursor family
Source: Rfam by way of RNAcentral
AGCCUUCUGUAUCCUUGCUGCGAUUUCGUCACACACUAGACCAUAAGGGUUGAUGAGAUUCUCAAGAUUAGUGAAACA